Molecule: ribosomal RNA, 1493 nt
Filed under: metagenome
Description: bacterial SSU rRNA
Rfam family: Bacterial small subunit ribosomal RNA
Source: RNAcentral
AGAGUUUGAUCCUGGCUCAGGAUGAACGCUGGCGGCGUGCCUAAUACAUGCAAGUAGAACGCUGAAGCUUGGUGCUUGCACCGAGCGGAUGAGUUGCGAACGGGUGAGUAACGCGUAGGUAACCUGCCUCUUAGCGGGGGAUAACUAUUGGAAACGAUAGCUAAUACCGCAUAAAAGUCGAUAUCGCAUGAUAUUGAUUUGAAAGGUGCAAUUGCAUCACUAAGAGAUGGACCUGCGUUGUGUUAGCUAGUUGGUGAGGUAACGGCUCACCAAGGCGACGAUACAUAGGCGACCUGAGAGGGUGAUCGGCCACACUGGGACUGAGACACGGCCCAGACUCCUACGGGAGGCAGCAGUAGGGAAUCUUCGGCAAUGGGGGCAACCCUGACCGAGCAACGCCGCGUGAGUGAAGAAGGUUUUCGGAUCGUAAAGCUCUGUUGUAAGAGAAGAACGAGUGUGAGAGUGGAAAGUUCACACUGUGACGGUAACUUACCAGAAAGGGACGGCUAACUACGUGCCAGCAGCCGCGGUAAUACGCAGGUCCCGAGCGUUAUCCGGAUUUAUUGGGCGUAAAGCGAGCGCAGGCGGUUAGAUAAGUCUGAAGUUAAAGGCUGUGGCUUAACCAUAGUACGCUUUGGAAACUGUUUAACUUGAGUGCAGAAGGGGAGAGUGGAAUUCCAUGUGUAGCGGUGAAAUGCGUAGAUAUAUGGAGGAACACCGGUGGCGAAAGCGGCUCUCUGGUCUGUAACUGACGCUGAGGCUCGAAAGCGUGGGGAGCAAACAGGAUUAGAUACCCUGGUAGUCCACGCGGUAAACGAUGGAUGCUCGCUGUUUGCGUCUGACGUAAGCGGCCAAGCGAAAGCGUUAAGCAUCCCACCUGGGGAGUACGCCGGCAACGGUGAAACUCAAAGGAAUUGACGGGGGCCCGCACAAGCGGAGGAACAUGUGGUUUAAUUCGAUGAUACGCGAGGAACCUUACCCGGGCUUGAACUGCAGGCGAACGAUUCAGAGAUGAUGAGGCCCUUCGGGGCGCCUGUGGAGGUGCUGCAUGGUUGUCGUCAGCUCGUGCCGUGAGGUGUCGGCUUAAGUGCCAUAACGAGCGCAACCCUUGUUCGUAGUUGCCAUCGGGUUAUGCCGGGCACUCUGCGAAGACUGCCUCCGUAAGGAGUGAGGAAGGUGGGGAUGACGUCAAAUCAGCACGGCCCUUACGUCCGGGGCUACACACGUGUUACAAUGGCAUGUACAGAAAGCUGGGUGUAUGCAAAUACGCUCGAAUCCCUAAAACUUGUCUCAGUUCGGACUGGGGUCUGCAACCCGACCCCACGAAGCUGGAUUCGCUAGUAAUCGCGCAUCAGCCAUGGCGCGGUGAAUACGUUCCCGGGCCUUGUACACACCGCCCGUCAAGCCAUGAAAGCCGGGGGCGCCUAAAGUCCGUGACCGCGAGGGUCGGCCUAGGGUGAAACCGGUGAUUGGGGCUAAGUCGUAACAAGGUA